UCCAAAAUAUUAUAUACAUUAAACCUCCCUCUGUGAGGAAUAUACCUAGCAUAUUCGAGUCAAUACAGAUCAGAUCGAAACCCUAGUUGGUGUUCAUCUCCCAAAUCCCCCUGAUCUGAUAGUAGGGUGUGACAUGGCCUCCCUCGCGCGUCGUCCGGCGACCGGCGCCGCCGAACCCGCCAUGACCUCCACCAUGGAGUUCCUGUAGCUCGUCCCCUACCUCCUCGUCCUGUGCUCGAGGGAGACGCCCCUCCAGCGCAUCGAGGACAAGGCCCACCACCAGCCGAUCGUUGUUGCACUCGCCGGCGACCUCACCGUCCCCUCUGCACUGCCCUCCACCUCAACUGAUGCUUCUCAUCAACAAGGAUAGAUUUAGCUGGUCAUAGCUUGUGGAUGUUCUCUGUUAUUUUUUGCACACAAGGUGUUUGUGUGCUUGUCCAAGCCAAUGUUCAUGAGCUUUAUCUUUGCUAUAAAUGACAUGGCUGAGAAGGUCCCUUCAAUGAAAGGAGGAGGAGUAUAGUCUUGGCCAUGGCUGGGGAGGAAGGAGAACAUGUAAAUUGAGGAUUUUUCAGAGAGAUUAGGACUGCUUGAUUUAUCAGAGAGAAAACCUUGAUCCGGAGCUUCGUCGAUGCAGGCCUUCAUGCUGGGCCGAGGAGGAGAAGAAGGGGGGGCACGUCGAAGGUGCCGGUGGAGCGCGUCGUCGAGAUCGUUGAUGACAGCGACAUGGGCGAGGCCGUUGAGGAGGUCAUGGUUGAUGCUUUACUGCCUGAACAUGUUGACCGGGAACAAGAGGGUAAGGUGGAUGCGAGGGCGGAGGCGCAUGCCAUGGUGCAGGAUGUUGUGGAAGCCCGAUUAUUUGAGGAAGUGAUAGCCACUGGGAGCAUGGAUCGACAGACUAGACAGACCAAGUCCAUUGAUCGGUUGAUUCAACAACGAAGGAAGAGGCAGAAGGUUAUAAAAACGAGCUUGGGGAUUUACUGACCUGAAUCUUAAACAGGGCCGCCCUGCUGAUGGACUCAAGCUCCAGGUUUGCUCCUAGCACGUCUUAAUUACAUUGGCUCUUGACAAAAUGUCUAGCAUGAUGGAUAAUGAGUUCAUUCUGUGAUGCCACAUAGAUAUGCAAAGUCAUAGUCCUGCAUGUAUGCACAUCUACUGAUACAUACAAGCCGAUCGACGGGCACACACAUUAUCCGUCACCGAGCAAAUGUUUGGGAGUUGGAAAUUAUUUGGAUACACAUGAUCUCAGAAAAGAAAGAUUCACACAUACUACAACCAAAGGACCUCCUUCACUCUCUGUGCAACUACAGAAAUUAUCCUUAUGAGCAGCACCCUAGAUUUAGUUGUGGGUUCUAACAUAUUAGAGAUGUGGUUAGAAUACCUACUGCUCUGAACAAUUAAGUGGUUUGUAUAAACCACCGAUUCCCUCGUGCAGUGUACAAUGUGAUAUGGAUCAUCAUAGGAUCAAACUUAAUACAGGAAGCACACACUUAAUUGUUUCUGAACUAUACUACUUCUUAUGUUCAUUCUUCUGUCCUUUUAAAUCUCUAAUUUAGUUGCAAGUAUUUUAUUUGUUAUCAUUUGGCUUCUUAAGAACAAAUCUAGCAAGCAACGACUCGACUGAUGAAAGAGAUGUUGACCAUCUUUGCUGCAGUGAGGUACCUUCUUGAUCAUGUUACUAAUCUGUAUCUACAUUAUUCAGAUGUGAAACUCAUCCUUCUUAAAACAUCUGCAACGCAUAUGUGCACUCUGAAAUGGUAAAAUAUUUGCAUUCUAUAGCACUUCAAGUUUGUGUAGCAUCCCCAUAUUUCCCGCGGCCCAGUUCCUUGAACUGGCUAACCCUUAUUGAUGUCAUAUGUCCUGAACUGACUCUCAUGACCAAGUUCCUCAACCCGUCUGCCCCUCAAAGGCAUGUUGUGCAGUGGCUCAAUUCAUCGCAUUGUGAUUGAACACAUUAGGAUUAGGUGAACACUGAAAACAUCGGUGAGGGUGGUCAGGAAGAAAAGCUAAAACCACCAGACGAAGGGGCGCUGGUCUCUGGUUCUUGGCGAAGGCCACCGCAGCUCAUCUCCAAGACCUCUGCUGUCGUGUGUCCCCCAAGUUCUUCACCGAAUCUCCUCGCCCGCUGGCUGCUGCUCUUCUUCUCCCUCGAACACAUCUCUGCUUCUGAUCCUUUGCUGCCGCCCCUAACCUGCUGCUUCUGCUCUCUGAUGCUGCACUCUGUACCUCUCCUUCUCCAACGAACUGUUGUUCCUAAUCUUCUCUGAACCCAAACUGUUGCUGCUCCGCUUCCUCUCUGAACCUCAAUCUGUUGCUGCUUCUCUGAUUCAGAGUAAACCAAUAAACAGGAAUUGUAUGGACUUCUAGGUCGUUUUUCCUUUGGUAACAGUUAUUGUUAGUUCUAAACAAUUUUUCAGUGCCACGAUUAGGCUUCCAAGGGUUCAGAGAAUGAUGAAGAAGCCUUUUAUAUCACACACUAUAUAACAUCAUGGAAUCACAACCUUAUAACAAAUAAUUUAAGAGGCUAUGUUCUGGUUUGCUGUAUCUCCACCAGUUUGGGUUGCUCUGAUGGCUAACCUAAACUGAAUAGGGAAUCAGGAGUACUUUAGUUGGUAUUGAAAGUGGAAUGUUUACUUUCAAGCUGAAAAUCUUGCAAGUUUGGUCCUGGGAUAUUUAAUGCUCCCUUUUCUGAUUAUCUUCCAAUCAUACUAUACAUAUUUAGUUUUUUUACUUUCUCUUGACAAGUGAACUGAAUUAUUCAUGGAGAAUCUGGUUAUGGUAAAUUUUAUUAUGGAGAUUCAUCCGAUGUAAUAGAAUAGCUUUAUUUGCUAAAAUCAAUACAUAACUAUAGUGUAGUAUGGUUACAACAUGUAGAGUUUUGCAAGUGAGAGUUACAGGAAGUCACUAUUGCAAGAUGGCAUUCAGUUAACACACGUACAAUCAACUGAUCACUGUAUCUUUUUUUUUGCUAAUUUAAUUUGAAAAAGCUAUUGCAAACAAUUUUUUCUUCUGAAAUUAUAUACUCUGUUUAUUUCUAAUGUGAUUUUGUUACUGUUUGUAUGGUAUUUCUCUGUCUAAAUUUUUUGUUACAUAAAUCAAUCUGCAUAUAUGUGUGCAGGCUGUGAAUCGACAAACAGCCCAGAAAAUAUGGCAUGCUACAUAUCCUGUGACAGUACAUUAUCAGAAAUACUUAUAUUUUUAUAAACGCAUCUCUCAUCCAUCAUGACAUAGAUGUCAUGCGUUGCAAGUGUUCUUUUUCGUUGUCUCGCUAUGCGUUGAGUACAUGAUGGAUGAUCUAAUCGUUCAGUGUGUCAUGUGUACUCAGUCACUUGUGUCAUCUUCAGAUUUUAGAAGUCAAAAUUCUAGCUUUAGCUCUAUAUUUAAGAAUUUUUCUACGGCAAAUGCAAGAAAAAUAAAGCGUCCUUCUGUUCUCAUUCUGAGGAAGUUCUGAAAAAUUGAGGCAUUUGUAUGAAUUUCUAUUCUUCAUUAUAAAUUAUCCUUUUAAGUUUAGAAAAUAAAACAUGAUAUACUCUGUAUGUCUCUGUUCUACACUACCACUACCAUUUUAUUGCUGCAAAACGCCAAUGAAAAAGUCAUUACUAUUUUCCACGUUUUUAUACAAUCAAGCUGAAAGAGCAAUAAAAUGAUCUGUUUUCACAUCUCCUCAGAUCUUACCGAAAGGCAAUGUGCUUAUAAUGUACAUCUAGAUAACAAUAAUGUGUUUGGGAAUGAUUCAUUUGUUGACGGUCAGCAUGUGGGGUGUGAGGGACGAUACUUAUAUCACUUAGUGGCCAAGGGAAUGACAUCACAAAAGUUUAUCUAACAUCCUAGGAGAAGAUGGACACAUGUUCCUAUAUUGCUUCUCUACAAUUGCUUUCACCAUUUGAUCAUCCAUGUAAUUUAUAGCAUCCAUGCAUAGCUUAUCCUUAGGCUGUUUGUAUCCACUUAUUCCUUUUGUUGACAUGGCUAGGAGGCUAAUAUGAAUGUCACAUAGAUUGUAAUUUAACCUCCUUACAAAUAAUUAACGUUCAAACAUUCCAGUGGAGGAAUCUCAAGACUUAUAGGAAUGGUACCCCGACAAUUGUGAGCGGCACAAAGGAAGGGUCGCCAUCACCAAGGAAGUACGCUGACAAUUGUGGACUCCAAAGAGGAACAAGCUCUAUAUUUAGUGCAUUGAGUUGCUAUUUUAAAUUCUGAGAGGUGUUGAAUUUUGUCGAUUUCUAAGAUAUUGACUCGGAAGAAUUAUUAUUUUGCUUGAUGUAAACUCAGAUUAAUUUGUCAUGCCAUUUGAACCGAACAACCUUUUUGUGACAUCACUUCAUGAUUUUUGUGGGAUAUUUUUUUACAGGUAGGUUUUACUAGCUGGAGCAACGAGGGUGCCAUCGGCAGCUCCGAGUUGCAGCGGGAGCCCCGGGAGACACCGGUCCGCCGCGCCGUCAGCAGCAAGAGCCGCCCGGCCGGGCAGCCAAGCUACAGCGGGAGCCGUCGCGCCGGGCCGCCGAGCUGUGGCGUGUACCGCCACCCCACCACCAGCAGCGGGAGCCGCCACUGAUGGGGACCUAAGGUCCGGUCGUCUUGCUUCCUCGGCUCCUCCAGUAGCUUCUCUCUUCAGAACAAACGUGUUGUUUCAGCACACAUUGUAUAUACUGCUUUCCUAUUUUAUUUUUAAUUAUUUUUUUUGGGAUACUGCUUUCUUAUUUUGCUACUACCUAAUAGAAGAAGUCAUCAUCUU
Long non-coding RNA from Triticum aestivum (bread wheat), 4729 nucleotides. RefSeq lists it as uncharacterized. NCBI's taxonomy places the organism in Eukaryota, Viridiplantae, Streptophyta, Magnoliopsida, Poales, Poaceae. The transcript is spliced from 3 exons. The record is from RefSeq and is a predicted model, not a curated record.